GUGUCAGCCGCCGCGGUAAAACCAGCACCUCAAGUGGUCAGGAGGAUUAUUGGGCCUAAAGCAUCCGUAGCCUGUUCUAUAAGUUUCCGGUUAAAUCCAUUAGCUCAACUAAUGGGCCGCCGAAAAUACUGUAGAACUAGGGAGUGGGAGAGGUAGACGGUAUUCGGUAGGAAGGGGUAAAAUCCUUUGAUCUAUUGAGGACCACCUGUGGCGAAGGCGGUCUACCAGAACACGUUCGACGGUGAGGGAUGAAAGCUGGGGGAGCAAACCGGAUUAGAUACCCAGGUAGUCCCAGCUGUAAACGAUGCAGACUCGGUGAUGCACUGGCUUGUGGCCAGUGCAGUGCCGCAGGGAAGCCGUUAAGUUUGCCGCCUGGGAAGUACGUACGCAAGUAUGAAACUUAAAGGAAUUGGCGGGGGAGCACCACAAGGGGUGAAGCCUGCGGUUCAAUUGGAGUCAACGCCAGAAAUCUUACCCGAAGAGACAGCAGAAUGAAGGUCAAGCUGGAGACUUUACCAGACAAGCUGAGAAGUGGUGCAUGGCCGUCGCCAGCUCGUGCCGUGAGAUGUCCUGUUAAGUCAGGUAACGAGCGAGAUCCCUGCCUCUAGUUGCCACCAUUACUCUCAGGAGUAGUGGGGCGAAUUAGCGGGACCGCCGCAGUUAAUGCGGAGGAAGGAAGGGGCCACGGCAGGUCAGUAUGCCCUGAAACUUUGGGGCCACACGCGGGCUGCAAUGGUAGUGACAAUGGGUUCCGAAUCCGAAAGGAGGAGGCAAUCCUCAAACGCUACCACAGUUAUGAUUGAGGGCUGUAACUCGCCCUCAUGAAUAUGGAAUCCCUAGUAACUGCGUGUCAUUACCGCGCAGUGAAUACGUCCCUGCUCCUUGCACACACCGCCCGUC
RNAcentral lists this ribosomal RNA (900 nucleotides) under uncultured archaeon. RNAcentral describes it as "bacterial SSU rRNA". It matches the Rfam family "Archaeal small subunit ribosomal RNA", at positions 455 to 1354 of the family's 1478-position model. The record is from RNAcentral.